GGGUUGUGAGGUUAAGCGACUAAGCGUACACGGUGGAUGCCCUGGCAGUCAGAGGCGAUGAAGGACGUGCUAAUCUGCGAUAAGCGUCGGUAAGGUGAUAUGAACCGUUAUAACCGGCGAUUUCCGAAUGGGGAAACCCAGUGUGAUUCGUCACACUAUCAUUAACUGAAUCCAUAGGUUAAUGAGGCGAACCGGGGGAACUGAAACAUCUAAGUACCCCGAGGAAAAGAAAUCAACCGAGAUUCCCCCAGUAGCGGCGAGCGAACGGGGAGCAGCCCAGAGCCUGAAUCAGUGUGUGUGUUAGUGGAAGCGUCUGGAAAGGCGCGCGAUACAGGGUGACAGCCCCGUACACAAAAAUGCACAUGCUGUGAGCUCGAUGAGUAGGGCGGGACACGUGGUAUCCUGUCUGAAUAUGGGGGGACCAUCCUCCAAGGCUAAAUACUCCUGACUGACCGAUAGUGAACCAGUACCGUGAGGGAAAGGCGAAAAGAACCCCGGCGAGGGGAGUGAAAAAGAACCUGAAACCGUGUACGUACAAGCAGUGGGAGCCUCUUUUAUGGGGUGACUGCGUACCUUUUGUAUAAUGGGUCAGCGACUUAUAUUCUGUAGCAAGGUUAACCGAAUAGGGGAGCCGAAGGGAAACCGAGUCUUAACUGGGCGUUAAGUUGCAGGGUAUAGACCCGAAACCCGGUGAUCUAGCCAUGGGCAGGUUGAAGGUUGGGUAACACUAACUGGAGGACCGAACCGACUAAUGUUGAAAAAUUAGCGGAUGACUUGUGGCUGGGGGUGAAAGGCCAAUCAAACCGGGAGAUAGCUGGUUCUCCCCGAAAGCUAUUUAGGUAGCGCCUCGUGAAUUCAUCUCCGGGGGUAGAGCACUGUUUCGGCAAGGGGGUCAUCCCGACUUACCAACCCGAUGCAAACUGCGAAUACCGGAGAAUGUUAUCACGGGAGACACACGGCGGGUGCUAACGUCCGUCGUGAAGAGGGAAACAACCCAGACCGCCAGCUAAGGUCCCAAAGUCAUGGUUAAGUGGGAAACGAUGUGGGAAGGCCCAGACAGCCAGGAUGUUGGCUUAGAAGCAGCCAUCAUUUAAAGAAAGCGUAAUAGCUCACUGGUCGAGUCGGCCUGCGCGGAAGAUGUAACGGGGCUAAACCAUGCACCGAAGCUGCGGCAGCGACACUAUGUGUUGUUGGGUAGGGGAGCGUUCUGUAAGCCUGUGAAGGUGUACUGUGAGGUAUGCUGGAGGUAUCAGAAGUGCGAAUGCUGACAUAAGUAACGAUAAAGCGGGUGAAAAGCCCGCUCGCCGGAAGACCAAGGGUUCCUGUCCAACGUUAAUCGGGGCAGGGUGAGUCGACCCCUAAGGCGAGGCCGAAAGGCGUAGUCGAUGGGAAACAGGUUAAUAUUCCUGUACUUGGUGUUACUGCGAAGGGGGGACGGAGAAGGCUAUGUUGGCCGGGCGACGGUUGUCCCGGUUUAAGCGUGUAGGCUGGUUUUCCAGGCAAAUCCGGAAAAUCAAGGCUGAGGCGUGAUGACGAGGCACUACGGUGCUGAAGCAACAAAUGCCCUGCUUCCAGGAAAAGCCUCUAAGCAUCAGGUAACAUCAAAUCGUACCCCAAACCGACACAGGUGGUCAGGUAGAGAAUACCAAGGCGCUUGAGAGAACUCGGGUGAAGGAACUAGGCAAAAUGGUGCCGUAACUUCGGGAGAAGGCACGCUGAUAUGUAGGUGAAGUCCCUCGCGGAUGGAGCUGAAAUCAGUCGAAGAUACCAGCUGGCUGCAACUGUUUAUUAAAAACACAGCACUGUGCAAACACGAAAGUGGACGUAUACGGUGUGACGCCUGCCCGGUGCCGGAAGGUUAAUUGAUGGGGUCAGCGCAAGCGAAGCUCUUGAUCGAAGCCCCGGUAAACGGCGGCCGUAACUAUAACGGUCCUAAGGUAGCGAAAUUCCUUGUCGGGUAAGUUCCGACCUGCACGAAUGGCGUAAUGAUGGCCAGGCUGUCUCCACCCGAGACUCAGUGAAAUUGAACUCGCUGUGAAGAUGCAGUGUACCCGCGGCAAGACGGAAAGACCCCGUGAACCUUUACUAUAGCUUGACACUGAACAUUGAGCCUUGAUGUGUAGGAUAGGUGGGAGGCUUAGAAGUGUGGACGCCAGUCUGCAUGGAGCCGACCUUGAAAUACCACCCUUUAAUGUUUGAUGUUCUAACGUUGACCCGUAAUCCGGGUUGCGGACAGUGUCUGGUGGGUAGUUUGACUGGGGCGGUCUCCUCCUAAAGAGUAACGGAGGAGCACGAAGGUUGGCUAAUCCUGGUCGGACAUCAGGAGGUUAGUGCAAUGGCAUAAGCCAGCUUGACUGCGAGCGUGACGGCGCGAGCAGGUGCGAAAGCAGGUCAUAGUGAUCCGGUGGUUCUGAAUGGAAGGGCCAUCGCUCAACGGAUAAAAGGUACUCCGGGGAUAACAGGCUGAUACCGCCCAAGAGUUCAUAUCGACGGCGGUGUUUGGCACCUCGAUGUCGGCUCAUCACAUCCUGGGGCUGAAGUAGGUCCCAAGGGUAUGGCUGUUCGCCAUUUAAAGUGGUACGCGAGCUGGGUUUAGAACGUCGUGAGACAGUUCGGUCCCUAUCUGCCGUGGGCGCUGGAGAACUGAGGGGGGCUGCUCCUAGUACGAGAGGACCGGAGUGGACGCAUCACUGGUGUUCGGGUUGUCAUGCCAAUGGCACUGCCCGGUAGCUAAAUGCGGAAGAGAUAAGUGCUGAAAGCAUCUAAGCACGAAACUUGCCCCGAGAUGAGUUCUCCCUGACCCUUUAAGGGUCCUGAAGGAACGUUGAAGACGACGACGUUGAUAGGCCGGGUGUGUAAGCGCAGCGAUGCGUUGAGCUAACCGGUACUAAUGAACCGUGAGGCUUAACCUUACAACGCCGAAG
This 2924-nucleotide ribosomal RNA is filed under the name Escherichia coli. RNAcentral's name for it is "23S ribosomal RNA". It matches the Rfam family "Bacterial large subunit ribosomal RNA". The record is from RNAcentral. Lineage: Bacteria; Pseudomonadati; Pseudomonadota; Gammaproteobacteria; Enterobacterales; Enterobacteriaceae.